This 126-nucleotide ribosomal RNA is filed under the name Legionella pneumophila subsp. pneumophila. Lineage: Bacteria; Pseudomonadati; Pseudomonadota; Gammaproteobacteria; Legionellales; Legionellaceae. The record is from RNAcentral.
UCCUGGCGACUAUAGCGAUUUGGAACCACCUGAUACUAUCUCGAACUCAGAAGUGAAACAUUUCCGCGCCAAUGAUAGUGUGAGGUCUCCUCAUGCGAAAGUAGGUCAUCGCCAGGGUUUUAUUUU